AUGAACGCUGGCGGCGUGCCUAAUACAUGCAAGUCGAGCGAACAGACGAGGAGCUUGCUCCUCUGACGUUAGCGGCGGACGGGUGAGUAACACGUGGAUAACCUACCUAUAAGACUGGGAUAACUUCGGGAAACCGGAGCUAAUACCGGAUAAUAUAUUGAACCGCAUGGUUCAAUAGUGAAAGACGGUUUUGCUGUCACUUAUAGAUGGAUCCGCGCCGCAUUAGCUAGUUGGUAAGGUAACGGCUUACCAAGGCAACGAUGCGUAGCCGACCUGAGAGGGUGAUCGGCCACACUGGAACUGAGACACGGUCCAGACUCCUACGGGAGGCAGCAGUAGGGAAUCUUCCGCAAAGGGCGAAAGCCUGACGGAGCAACGCCGCGUGAGUGAUGAAGGUCUUCGGAUCGUAAAACUCUGUUAUUAGGGAAGAACAAAUGUGUAAGUAACUAUGUACGUCUUGACGGUACCUAAUCAGAAAGCCACGGCUAACUACGUG
This 496-nucleotide ribosomal RNA is filed under the name uncultured bacterium. RNAcentral describes it as "partial 16S ribosomal RNA". It matches the Rfam family "Bacterial small subunit ribosomal RNA", at positions 29 to 507 of the family's 1533-position model. The record is from RNAcentral.